Molecule: long non-coding RNA, 753 nt
Organism: Mastomys coucha (southern multimammate mouse)
Lineage: Eukaryota; Metazoa; Chordata; Mammalia; Rodentia; Muridae
Exons: 2
Source: RefSeq, a predicted model, not a curated record
GAUGUCACCCUUGACACGUGUGCUCAAGGUUAAGCUAUCUCUUCUGUAACUCUAAGGGGCAAGGAGGAUCUAUCACCUUUGGCCACCAUGACCACACAAAGGGACCCUGAGUCUGCACAGGUGAUGUCUUUAUCUUGUCAUAGUCCUCUAGGGCUGACAGAAUGCUUUGCAUCCUGAACCAGGGAAGUUAGAGGAAACUAUGAACACACAGAGAUGCCUUCACUAGCCAGCAGCUCUACUCCUCCCCCACGCCCCGGGCUAUGGAAAACCAAGCAGCCCCCUUCCCUUCAGCUCCUAAACCUUUCAGAGGCAUCCAAUGCCACGGUGGAGGGGUGGUGUCACACUGUGGACUGUUAGACCCAUAGGGGGUGAGCUGACGAGACAACAACUCACAGGGACACUUGGUGAGAGUAGUGGUGGGCACCUGGGAGACUGUGCAGAGAUCUCUACAGACCUGACCGCCAUUCGAGGAAGAGGGGAGAGGAGCUGAGCAAGGGACCAUCACAGAACCACAGGAGCACACACAGGAGACAGGAAGCCCCAGGAAGGUGCGCUGAGCGGAGAGCCCUGCUCUUGCUUGGAGUACACAGGUGCCUCCCUCCAGAAAGAAGUACAUCUUUCUUCAUGUCCCCUACAUGGGAGCAGAACCCACAUGGUGUCGCUGCCAUUGGCAAACAAUGAGGCUCUGGGAUGAGGAACAGAAGCAGCAAGCUGUCUGACGGCAGGAGGGGGCCUUAAAACGUCAAAGACGAA